This 38-nucleotide non-coding RNA is filed under the name Trypanosoma brucei brucei. Lineage: Eukaryota; Euglenozoa; Kinetoplastea; Trypanosomatida; Trypanosomatidae. The record is from RNAcentral.
UAAUAUUUUAUUUUGUUUGUUUGUGUGAUUGUAGUGUA